This 1399-nucleotide ribosomal RNA is filed under the name uncultured bacterium. Its description in RNAcentral is "bacterial SSU rRNA". It matches the Rfam family "Bacterial small subunit ribosomal RNA". The record is from RNAcentral.
GAAUUCGCCCUUAGAGUUUGAUCCUGGCUCAGGACGAACGCUGGCGGCGUGCCUAACACAUGCAAGUCGAGCGAGGAAGAGGAGAUAGCUUGCUAACUCCUGUUUCUAGCGGCGGACGGGUGAGUAACGCGUGAGCAACCUGCCUUUAUCAGGGGGAUAACGCAUCGAAAGAUGUGCUAAUACCGCGUAAGACCACAGCCUCACAUGGGGGAGGGGUCAAAGGAGCAAUCCGGAUAAAGAUGGGCUCGCGUCCGAUUAGCUAGUUGGUGAGAUAACAGCCCACCAAGGCGACGAUCGGUAGCCGACCUGAGAGGGUGAUCGGCCACAUUGGAACUGAGAAACGGUCCAGACUCCUACGGGAGGCAGCAGUGGGGAAUAUUGGGCAAUGGGCGAAAGCCUGACCCAGCAACGCCGCGUGAGGGAAGAAGGGUUUCGGCUCGUAAACCUCUGUCCUAUGGGACGAAGGAAGUGACGGUACCAUAGGAGGAAGCCCCGGCUAACUACGUGCCAGCAGCCGCGGUAAUACGUAGGGGGCGAGCGUUGUCCGGAAUGAUUGGGCGUAAAGGGCGCGUAGGCGGCCUGCUAAGUCUGGAGUGAAAGUCCUGCUUUCAAGGUGGGAAGUGCUUUGGAUACUGGUGGGCUGGAGUGCAGGAGAGGAAAGCGGAAUUACCGGUGUAGCGGUGAAAUGCGUAGAGAUCGGUAGGAACACCAGUGGCGAAGGCGGCUUUCUGGACUGAAACUGACGCUGAGGCGCGAAAGCGUGGGGAGCAAACAGGAUUAGAUACCCUGGUAGUCCACGCGGUAAACGAUGAAUGCUAGGUGUAGGAGGUAUCGACCCCUUCUGUGCCGCAGUAAACACAAUAAGCAUUCCGCCUGGGGAGUACGGCUGCAAGGUUGAAACUCAAAGGAAUUGACGGGGGCCCGCACAAGCAGCGGAGCAUGUGGUUUAAUUCGAAGCAACGCGAAGAACCUUACCAGGUCUUGACAUCCGUGUAAAGCCGCAGAGAUGCGGUGUGAGCUUGCUCAAUACGAGACAGGUGGUGCAUGGUUGUCGUCAGCUCGUGUCGUGAGAUGUUGGGUUGAGUCCCGCAACGAGCGCAACCCUUAUCUUCAGUAGCCAGCAGGUAAGGCUGGGCACUCUGGAGAGACUGCCAGGGAUAACCUGGAGGAAGGUGGGGACGACGUCAAAUCAUCAUGCCCCUUAUGAUCUGGGCGACACACGUGCUACAAUGGCGGUCACAGAGUGAGGCGAACCCGCGAGGGGGAGCAAACCACAAAAAGGCCGUCCCAGUUCGGACUGUAGUCUGCAACCCGACUACACGAAGCUGGAAUCGCUAGUAAUCGCGAAUCAGAAUGUCGCGGUGAAUACGUUCCCGGGUCUUGCACACACCGCCCGUCA